ACCGCAUACGCCCCAAGGGGGAAAGCGGGGGAUCUUCGGACCUCGUGCUAUAGGAGGAGCCUGCGUCGGAUUAGCUAGUUGGUGAGGUAAAGGCUCACCAAGGCGACGAUCCGUAGCUGGUCUGAGAGGAUGAUCAGCCACACCGGAACUGAGACACGGUCCGGACUCCUACGGGAGGCAGCAGUGGGGAAUAUUGCGCAAUGGGCGAAAGCCUGACGCAGCCAUACCGCGUGUGUGAAGAAGGCCUUCGGGUUGUAAAGCACUUUCAGUGGGGAGGAAAAGCUGGUGGCUAAUAUCCAUCGGCCGUGACGCUACCCACAGAAGAAGCACCGGCUAAUUCCGUGCCAGCAGCCGCGGUAAUACGGAAGGUGCGAGCGUUAAUCGGAAUUACUGGGCGUAAAGCGCACGUAGGUGGCUUGGUAAGUCGGAUGUGAAAGCCCCGGGCUCAACCUGGGAACUGCAUUCGAUACUGCCGAGCUAGAGUACGAAAGAAGGGGGUGGAAUUCCAGGUGUAGCGGUGAAAUGCGUAGAGAUCUGGAGGAACACCAGUGGCGAAGGCGGCCCCCUGGUUCGAUACUGACGCUGAGGUGCGAAAGCGUGG
This 601-nucleotide ribosomal RNA is filed under the name uncultured bacterium. Its description in RNAcentral is "bacterial SSU rRNA". It matches the Rfam family "Bacterial small subunit ribosomal RNA", at positions 168 to 764 of the family's 1533-position model. The record is from RNAcentral.